This 756-nucleotide long non-coding RNA is filed under the name Oryza sativa Indica Group (long-grained rice). RNAcentral's name for it is "lncRNA OsLaMu_05g0029320". Lineage: Eukaryota; Viridiplantae; Streptophyta; Magnoliopsida; Poales; Poaceae. The record is from RNAcentral.
AUGAGGGCAGGAAUACCACCAAAACCGAUGCCACAUUCACUCUAUCCAAAACCUAUGUAUCAGCAAUUUCGUAGACAAGGAACUAUACCACAUUGGUGGAAGGGAAAACGGAAAAGAAAAGCGUCAUCACUAAUAACAUAUGCUGAACUUGACCUCAGUAGAAUGGGAAUAGAAAUCGACAUGGACCAAUCGACAUCGAAAAACAAGAAUUCCUCCAAUCUACAAGACCCCCAAAAUAUGGGAAUAAACCAGCCCAUGCUACUCUUUGAAGAUCCUCCCCAAGCUUCCGGGAACAAAGGACGAGUCCAAGCCUCACUAAAGCCUGAAGACUACACCAUCAAUCUGAAUCACCUCAAGCAAUAUUCUUCGAAUGAAAGGUGCCACCUGACUCCAGCAAAACGAAGGAUAAAUGUCACGUGUUAUAGAUGUGGCGAGAAAGGACAUUGUGCCUUGGAUUGCCCUAAGAAAAAGCUAGGAAAUGGACAAGUAAGGAAUAUACCUCGAUACCCAAAAAGGAAAAUGAGGGCAGGAAUACCACCAAAACCGAUGCCACAUUCACUCUAUCCAAAACCUAUGUAUCAGCAAUUUCGUAGACAAGGAACUAUACCACAUUGGUGGAAGGGAAAACGGAAAAGAAAAGCGUCAUCACUAAUAACAUAUGCUGAACUUGACCUCAGUAGAAUGGGAAUAGAAAUCGGUGAUUUGCCUGAAGAAGUUGAAGAACUACAACUAUGGCAACGAAAGAGAGAUGGCUGU